Urocitellus parryii (Arctic ground squirrel) is the source of this 2755-nucleotide long non-coding RNA. The record is from Ensembl. Lineage: Eukaryota; Metazoa; Chordata; Mammalia; Rodentia; Sciuridae.
UCUUCCCUGUUUCAGUGUCACCACCAUUAUUUGCAAUAAUUCUCAAUCUCCACUCUAGCAUCCUCAGCUAGAUAAUGGUACCUUUAAUUAUGACUGAAAUACCAAGAGUUUUUGUAACUUGACUUACAGGGCAAUUGCCUCCUCUGAAACAAAAAGUGUGGCACUAAUUUUUUUUUUUUUUUGUAUGUUGAACCUGGUUAUUUCCCUCAGAGUUUCAUUUCCACUCUCUUCUAGCUAUAUUGCAGUACACAUUACAAGGAGAGAGUUUUAAAAAUCCAAUUGGUGGGAAACAUCACUUUCUUAAUGGAAGCCUGUACUGACUCCACUAAGUAAAAUGUGAACACAACUUCUAAGUUCCUCUGUGUUUCAUCAUUCAAAUUUCUCCCAAGUUUUACUUAGAGAGUGCUCCUUUUUAACCAUUUUAUGCAGAUUAUUCAAGGAUGCUUCUGACCUACCACUUUGAGAUAUUAGGCUCUUACUAAUAUUAUUUAUGAAGAAUGCGACUUCUCUUGCUAUCUAACUGCAGUGCUUUGCUUUUUAUUUGCUUUGCUACUUGCCAAAUUGAGAAAGCAAUACCAAGAUGCCAGAAGAGUAUAUUGAUCACCACCAUUUCUUACCUCAAGUUUGAGAGCACMUGGGAGAAAAGCUAGUCCAGAAAUCUAAGGAGCAUCUUUUCUCCUCCAAGGCUCCAGCAGUGUCCUCUUUUUCUGACUGUGGUACUCUGUUUUGCAAGCAUGUUUUCUCCUUGCUACCCCUUUUCCUAGUCCUACAAUCUUCCCCCUAGAGCUGAUGAAGCACUUACAUUUUGACCUGCAGGAUCCCUGUGGACUGCAGAGUUGAGCCCUGCCAUCCAGACUGCCUUUCUGCUUCAUUUUGCUCCUGACCUAAACCCCCCUGCUAUUCCAGGCCUGGCCUCUCAUGACCAGAGACUGCUGACUCAUCCUGGCCUGUGCCAAGCUGUGCAGUCGCUUAGUGAUGUGGACAGGAGUCGAAGGACUAGAAUGAGAUCACUGAACUCAUUUCACUUGUUGCUUACGGUACAGUCCAGCAUGAGCUGGAAAUGUAGGAACCUCAGCCUCCCGAGCAGAAAGAAGCCCGACGGAAAGUAUGGAACAAACAGGCCCUGCUGACGUUUUGGCUCUGUUAAGCCUUCCUCCAAGCUAAAGCAUCUGCAGCAUCUUCCUGUUCUAGACCCUUUAUCUGCUGAAGUUAGCUGAUACUGUACAUGUCAAAGAAAUGUUUGACUAUUGCAUUAACAAGUUGAUGACAAGCAAGUUAUUCCUGCAAUUGAAAUACUGCUGCUUUUAGCAGGCUGCCAUUUUGACCUUCAUUUUAUUAUAAAGAAGAACCUUAACAGAGCAAAGCACUGGGAAGAUACCAGCAUUGUUGGCCCAGGCUUGUACAGGUCAACAAAGACCACCUAUCUGGUCAUAGGUGUGGUGGUAUAGUGGGCAUACUAGGCAAUUCCAUCAAGUUAUGAAUGGGAUUUCCUAGUAAAAUAUAGAUGUUUUGAAUACAUUGGACUAUCCCAAGGAUUACUCUUGGAAGGGUAAAAUCAACUACAUGAAAGUUCAUUUUCUUUUGCUUUCUUUCUACUCCAUACCCCCACACACGUGCAUGCACAUACACAUUUAUCAAAUGUUAAUGGCUGGGACACUUAAAUGAAAAUUGUAUAUUCCCACUAUAUACAUUGUUUUGCCAGUUCUUGCUGUUCCUCCUUAUUGGUGGCCUCCCCUACCCUACUUCUYAUUUGGCGUAGUAUCUAGAACAUCUUAAUCUAAUCAGAGACAUGCCCUUAUCUCCUGAAAGGCAAGUAGGUAGCACCCUCACAGAAACCUCAGGCAGCCCUCCCUAAGACCUCGUUAGUUCAUCCCAACCUCAGCUGCCAGCAGGGAGUGCUCACACACUGUGUAACUGUUGACUCUUGUCUGAAGAGUCCUCCUCCCCUGGGGGACCCACCCUCAGUGGGUCCCAGCCUUAUCAGCCUACAGAGCCUGUCUGGAGCCUGUAAUAGGAGCUUGCCUAUGGCCCACCCUGCUAAACAUUCUGCUUUUGUUGGUGCCAUAGGAUAUCAGCACUUGGAACAAUGCAGCAUUUGCCCUAAGACUGUGGCCUUUUCAUAAUACUGAGCUUCUCUUAUUCACCAGGGUGUCAGGUGCCUUGUAUUCUUUUUAGACCCUUCAGGUCUGUUCAGGGUACACUGAUGCUGUCUGGUCUAUUUUAAAUAUUAACAUGAAAAACUUUCAUUCUCUGACUUAAGUUGUGGCUAGUACCACAGAUGCUUUCAUUUUUAAAAGUCUUGUGUAAAAAUGAUUAUUGUUGUUCAGCCAUGAGAGCCAAAUUUCUUGCCAAAGUGGUGUAGGCUUUAAUUUUCUUUUAGACUUGGCAAACUGACCACAAUACUGUCUCCCAGAUGAAUGCUUUACUCCCAUCCCAAAUAUCUCAUGCUGUAAUCUAUACCUCCGCUUUAUGGAACAACUACCUCAAAGGACAGGUGGAAAGGGUGUGAGAAGAGGGCCCAGUUCUUUAUACAGUUAAGGACAUUGUCUCUGGAAAAGGAAGUGAGGAUAGUUUGAGGCAGCAAUUGAAGGUUUCUCAAAAGAAAAUAUGUGAAUGAACAAUUUGAAUUUUAAAUAGAGUUUUACUGACUUUUUCUUUCUUUUUAAAGUUCCUAAUAGGAUUUCCAUAAUGAUUUUGUGUUUUCUUUCUUAAUAGAACUUAAAUGGCAAAUAAAUGAUAUGUUAUUUUUGAUUCA